GUUUCCGUAGGUGAACCUGCGGAAGGGUCCAUGCCCCCCACGAGUUGCAGCCAACCCGCGGCGAACGAACACAAUGUCCCCUUGGGCGGGUCGGGGCGCGUCGCAGCGUCCCGGCCGGCCACCUCCCUUCGCCGUCACGAGCGAGCUCGCUUGUUCGCGGCGUGGGGUUUCCACGAUGUGUCCACCUUGACCGAGUGACUGAGUCCCGAAUCGACUGGCUACCUUGCGAGUUGAAGGAAUAGAACACCGAAACAACUCUCAGCAACGGAUAUCUUGGCUCUUGCAACGAUGAAGAACGCAGCGAAAUGCGAUACCUAGUGUGAAUUGCAGAAUUCCGCGAAUCAUCGAGUCUUUGAACGCAAGUUGCGCCCGAGGCUUGUCCAAGGGCAUUUCCGCUAGAGCGUCAACGCGCCCCCCACCGAUCCGCUCCCGCCGGGUGUCGGGUCGAGUGAAAGUGGCCAUCCCCGUGUGGGGGCCUCCUUCCGCGAGGGAGGAAGGCCUUUCGAGGGUCGGCUGAAAUGGAUGGAAUCGGGCCGCCGUGGAAGAAACGCAGUCCGCGAUCGGGUGAUCCGGGCCCCUCCGGGAGCCCGGAAUUUUUCUAAGUGCGUUUCUGCGUGUCCCAGUCGGUUGUGGUUCCCUCUUGCAGGUCGAGCGUCACGCAUCGGACUUCUAAUCGGAAAAGACUACUCGCUGAG
Molecule: ribosomal RNA, 695 nt
Filed under: Lindbergia serrulata
Lineage: Eukaryota; Viridiplantae; Streptophyta; Bryopsida; Hypnales; Leskeaceae
Description: eukaryotic LSU rRNA
Rfam family: 5.8S ribosomal RNA (bases 254-406)
Source: RNAcentral